UUUCAAGAUUUUUUUUUUCAAUAAAAAGGUGGGGGGAAAUGGAAUCACUUUGCCAACUAUUGUUCUAAGAGUUGACAUCAGUUACCAUUUCUAAUGCAUUGUUGUGAUUUUGUAGUGUCAUUCAUAACUGGUAUUGACAUUUUAGAAAACACCAAAGUGAUUUAAAAUAUAUGUGGGGAAAAAAACUUCUCACUCUAGUAACAAUGUUUUAAUCAUGUUGUUUGUUAAAUAUUUAAAAGUUAUUGUUCAAUUUUUGCUAGACUAUCUUAAAUCAUGAUAGUGUUGGGAAGGGGGUAUCAAAAUAUAAAAUUGUUAGUUUGUGUAUAUAAACAAUGCACAUUAAAACAAUUGAAUUGCUUCCAGCAUACAACAAACUACCUUAAAAUUAUGUUCAAAAUCUAUUAAAUAUAUUUUCAUGGCUAAUGUCGAGUAUAUGUUUUCAUCAAUUACAUUGUUAUUGUAUUAAUCGCGGUUAAACUUGGCAUCUCUUGGCAGGAUCCUAUUUAAUUUCUGUUGCCAUCAAAAUAUAUUUAUAUGCAUGAGUUUUGCUAUAAACCUUUAUUUUCUGCUAUAAAGUUAUAUAUUAUGACAACCAUAAAUGCAAUUACAAAUUGGGUAAGAACAAGCUGAAUAAAAGUUGUUCCCAUGACUAAUAUUAGUCUUCAUGCUUUUAGCAUAUUUUUUAAGACAGUAACACUCAUCCCAUCAAAUUAUUACAUUACAUUUAGUAUUUUUCUGAGUUACAUUGACAAGAACUUAAAUUAUAGCCUGUUAUUAAUAUUGAUUUCCAACGACUGAACAGUACAACAGAUCAAUAAAAAAGUUUAUACACUGCUUUAACUAAUUUUUGUUAUACUCAUGUGGCUUAGUGUAGUUAGUCACUAAAACAGAGUUCAAGUGAGCUUGGCAAUGGUGUUGAGUAACAAGAAAGAAUUUUGCAUUAAUGAUUUCUUUUUAUUUUCCUCAUUUAAACAACCAGCAUUACUGCCAAACACCAACCGUGGUCCAUAUUUGUAACAGGUUUUUAACAUGACAUAGUUAGCAAGUUUGAUUGAAGAGAUUUUUAGGUCCUGGGCCUAUAAGAUUUUAGUAUGAUCUUUUUUCAUGUUUCUAAUGCUUGAGGUGUUACUGCUUAACUUGGGAAAAAAAAAAACAAAAAACAGUGUUCCUGCCAUUUGUAAGUUUUCCUAUAAUAUUCCUUUUAUUAACUUUAAAACUGGACUUAUCGGGUUCAAAUAGGCAGUAUCCCUUUUAAGUGACCUUUGCAACCCAAGUGUUACUUGCUUAUUUGAUGCUCUCUUGUAUUUUAAAUCUCAUUUAAAUCUUUGUCUGUGACCAACAAAGCUUAAGAUUUUGUCUUCAUUUAAAACUCUGAAUCUAUUCCAUUGAUCAUGUUAGACGUUCAAAUGUUUAAUGGUAUAGUCUGACCUAGUGAAACAAAAUGGAUGUUGUUACUUUUUUUAAAGAAUAGAAUGAAAUAACUAUUUCACUUGCCCAAAAUUUUAAAUAUUUUUUCAUCUAAACUUGUAUUGUUUCCCAUAGCAGAAUGUCAAUAUUCACAGUACAUUUCUGUAAAGAGCAAACCAAUAUAAUGUUUUGAGUGUUGAAAAAAAUUCCAGAUUUUUGAAGAAUUAGACAACUCUUCAUCUACCUUAUUUCUAGUUCACACAGUUAUCUCAAAUUCCACUGAAACUAAUGGGAUACUGUCUUGUGUAGAUGCCAGUUGAGUUUAUAAUGUGACCUAGUAAAGCUGUCUUUUUUGUUGUGUUGUAUGAGUGUCGGAUCAUGCUUUUAGGAAUACUUUUAUUAAAAUGGUGUGCAUUCAUGCAAAAGGCCAACUGGCUUUUGUGAACAAUAGAUCUUUUCUCCCCUUUAUUUUGUUCUCUUGACACUUUUGUGAAAAUUACCUAGCCUGAUAAAAACAUUUUGUAAAAAUUUGUAUAAUACUGUUAUAAAAUAUUUAUAAUCCCAGAAAAUGUUGUGUUAAAUCUUGUGCAAAAACAGUAUAUUCAGAAUAAAAGUUUAUCAUUUAAAGUCA
Molecule: long non-coding RNA, 2038 nt
Filed under: Homo sapiens (human)
Lineage: Eukaryota; Metazoa; Chordata; Mammalia; Primates; Hominidae
Description: non-protein coding lnc-CACNA2D1-1:2
Source: RNAcentral